AUGAAUACAGAACCUGUCCUGCAGCACACUGCACUCACCACAGGGCUGUUUGGGAAAUGCCAGGAAGAGCUUCGAUCUGUGGCUGGCAGCUGAACCCUUGGAGCACAAGACACACAGCACGCAUUGUCAUCCUGAUCGAGGAAGGACAUCACAAUGAGCACUUUAAAGGGCUUUAUGAAGGAAGCUGGAGGCAGUUCUCAUUAGUCUCACUGACAUCUUUUAUCACUUAUCAGAGGAACAAGCAAACGGAGAGCAAUUCCUUUGAUCAUGGCAAAAGUAGAAAGAGUAUUAAAAACCCUAUGAAGAUUCACUAAGUAGAAAGUGGAAAAGACAGUCUGUGGCAUGUUUCAAAGAGGUAACGUGGUUUAAAGUUGCCAGAUUUGCUUGUAUAUAUUAAAGAAUUGUUAAUGAUGCUACAUUUUACAUGCAUCCUAGGUUUUUUGAUUUGUUUUUUUCUUUUUAAAAGAAAACAGGCAAAGGAGUUCUUAGGUAGAAUAGAUGGGUUAGAUCAAUUAGAAAGUAUCUCUAAAAGGUGAGCUAUGUCAGAAAGGAAUUCUGUGAUUCAAUGAAAAUUGCUGAAAAUAAAAAUAAGGAGGUAACAGUGGAACA
Molecule: long non-coding RNA, 609 nt
Filed under: Anser cygnoides (Swan goose)
Lineage: Eukaryota; Metazoa; Chordata; Aves; Anseriformes; Anatidae
Description: lncRNA (ENSACDG00005004491.1)
Source: RNAcentral